GACGAACGCUGGCGGCGUGCCUAAUACAUGCAAGUCGAGCGCAGGAAAUCGACGGAACCCUUCGGGGGGAAGUCGACGGAAUGAGCGGCGGACGGGUGAGUAACACGUAAAGAACCUGCCCUCAGGUCUGGGAUAACCACGAGAAAUCGGGGCUAAUACCGGAUGGGUCAUCGGACCGCAUGGUCCGAGGAUGAAAGGCGCUUCGGCGUCGCCUGGGGAUGGCUUUGCGGUGCAUUAGCUAGUUGGUGGGGUAAUGGCCCACCAAGGCGACGGUGCAGAGCCGACCUGAGAGGGUGAUCGGCCACACUGGGACUGAGACACGGCCGAGACUCGACCGGGAGGCAGCAGCAGGGAAUCUUCCACAAUGGACGAAAGUCUGAUGGAGCAACGCCGCGUGAACGAUGAAGGCCUUCGGGUCGUAAAGUUCUGUUGUAAGGGAAGAACAAGUGCCGCAGGCAAUGGCGGCACCUUGACGGUACCUUGCGAGAAAGCCACGGCUAACUACGUGCCAGCAGCCGCCGUAA
Molecule: ribosomal RNA, 524 nt
Filed under: uncultured bacterium
Lineage: Bacteria
Description: partial 16S ribosomal RNA
Rfam family: Bacterial small subunit ribosomal RNA
Source: RNAcentral